UGGGGAAUUUUGGACAAUGGGCGAAAGCCUGAUCCAGCAAUGCCGCGUGUGUGAAGAAGGCCUUCGGGUUGUAAAGCACUUUUGUCCGGAAAGAAAUCCUUGGCUCUAAUACAGUCGGGGGAUGACGGUACCGGAAGAAUAAGCACCGGCUAACUACGUGCCAGCAGCCGCGGUAAUACGUAGGGUGCAAGCGUUAAUCGGAAUUACUGGGCGUAAAGCGUGCGCAGGCGGUUUGCUAAGACCGAUGUGAAAUCCCCGGGCUCAACCUGGGAACUGCAUUGGUGACUGGCAGGCUAGAGUAUGGCAGAGGGGGGUAGAACUCCACGUGUAGCAGUGAAAUGCGUAGAGAUGUGGAGGAAUACCGAUGGCGAAGGCAGCCCCCUGGGCCAAUACUGACGCUCAUGCACGAAAGCGUGGGGAGCAAACAGGAUUAGAUACCCUGGUAGUCCACGCCCUAAACGAUGUCAACUAGUUGUUGGGGAUUCAUUCCUUAGUAACGUAGCUAACGCGUGAAGUUGACCGCCUGGGGAGUACGGUCGCAAGAUUAAAACUCAAAGGAAUUGACGGGGUCAUAGCUGUUUCCU
This 584-nucleotide ribosomal RNA is filed under the name uncultured bacterium. RNAcentral describes it as "partial 16S ribosomal RNA". It matches the Rfam family "Bacterial small subunit ribosomal RNA", at positions 355 to 1375 of the family's 1533-position model. The record is from RNAcentral.